GAAUACCGCGUUAGGGAUUGCAGAGAAAAGCCCACAGCCCUACAAAGGAGGUGUGAGGACUUGUAACGUAAAGCCCGACCCGCU
This 84-nucleotide unclassified non-coding RNA is filed under the name Algibacter lectus. RNAcentral's name for it is "Flavo-1 RNA". Lineage: Bacteria; Pseudomonadati; Bacteroidota; Flavobacteriia; Flavobacteriales; Flavobacteriaceae. The record is from RNAcentral.